AUUUCAUUUGAAAUCCAGAUAUUCAAAUUUUAGUAUAAAUCUGAGAAUUUGAAAUGACAACUCAAAUUCUGUCAUUUGAAAUCCAUUAUUUGAAAUGAAAUGCAUGUUUCCAAACGGCCUCUAAUGAGAUUUGAGAAGAAAUUGGGGGUAGGAGAGAAUGAAGCAUUCCAUCUGAAAUUGAAGGUAUGAUCUUCAGCACAUAAUGUAAGGAAUGGAAUGGAUGAAGGAAUGAAAUUUGUUAACAAUUGCUCAUAAUAUAGUUCAUUUUUCAUUCCAUUCCUUCCGGAAUUAUUCACCCCAACCAAACACAACAUAAGUUUGCAAUUGAAAACUCUACAAAGACCCGUAUUGUGAUUGCUGACACAAAAAUUCACAUUUUAGGAUCUUUUGCUAACAUCAAAAUUGCAAGAGUCUCCUUCUGCAGUCUUAUCUUGGGCUCCCCGCUGGGAAGGUUUAUUCAAAACUACGAGCUGUUACCUCCAGAUUGGAGGAAAGCUUCUAAUUUCUUCAGGAACGUCAUCUAAUACAGGAGCGGUGGUGAAUGGACUAACUGCAGAAGAGAUGGCUGUGGAGUUGUAUAAUCUUCAACUGCAGGGUAUUGCAGAGACGUACAGUUGAUCAAGAUGAUGAAGAAACACAAGACUUUUCUCGGUGGACUCAAGCCUUCUUCUCAGAACAGUGCUGAGAUCGAUAGCAUUGUGCGAUUUGCCGUUCUUGAACACAACAAGAAACAGGUACUAAUUAUCACUCUUAUUAUCUUCAUUGAUGUUAUUUGUGAACAAUUAGUGUUAUUCAUGUGUGGUGAGGGUUUUAGGCCUUUUUUUGUAUUACAGUAGGACUAUAUAUUCUUGUCUUUGGUCUUUGUGUGGACACAUCUACUUAAAAAUGUGUCCUUCCCUUCAUUUUUACAUACUCCCUCCGUCCCUCCUCAGUAGUUUACGUACACUGUUUGCACACGUACACUGUUUGCACGCAUUUUCUUUUUUUGCCCGUGACAGAGGGAGUAUAGUGUAGAAUGGUUCUGUCAACUAAAAUAUUGUGCCCGUGUAACCUGAUGGAUCUACUAAAACUCAUCUUUACUAAAAAUUUUCAGCGGCUUCAUUCUUGAUGUAUUCUAGUGUUUUUUCUUCAGCUUAAUGAUUUUUAGGAUUUAUUGUCUGGUGUAGAAGUUGGGGCAUAAGUUUUGGAAUACUGUGUACUCUGCUUUAGAAGAAACUAUAGUUUCUAUAGUGCAGUGUCGUAUUUUCACUAAACUGAAUUAUACUUCAUGAUCCUCAAGGAUCUCAUUUAUCACAGUUUACUUUGUUCCCUGAA
Long non-coding RNA from Daucus carota subsp. sativus, 1314 nucleotides. RefSeq lists it as uncharacterized. Lineage: Eukaryota; Viridiplantae; Streptophyta; Magnoliopsida; Apiales; Apiaceae. The transcript is spliced from 3 exons. The record is from RefSeq and is a predicted model, not a curated record.